GGUCUCCAAACACUGCAUCUUUGCGUCGGAGUUUAAACAAAUUAAACAAAACUUUCAACAACGGAUCUCUUGGUUCUGGCAUCGAUGAAGAACGCAGCGAAAUGCGAUAAGUAAUGUGAAUUGCAGAAUUCAGUGAAUCAUCGAAUCUUUGAACGCACAUUGCGCCCUUUGGUAUUCCGAAGGGCAUGCCUGUUCGAGCGUCAUUUCACCACUCAAGCCUGGCUUGGUAUUGGGCGUCGCGGCUCCGCGCGCCUUAAAGUCUCCGGCUGAGCCAUUCGUCUCUAAGCGUUGUGGAUUUUCUAAUUCGCUUCGGAGUGCGGGUGGCCGCGGCCGUUAAAUCUUUAUUCAAAGGUUGACCUCGGAUCAGGUAGGGAUACCCGCUGAACU
RNAcentral lists this ribosomal RNA (387 nucleotides) under Pseudocercospora macadamiae. RNAcentral describes it as "eukaryotic LSU rRNA". The stretch from base 50 to 203 matches the Rfam family "5.8S ribosomal RNA". Lineage: Eukaryota; Fungi; Ascomycota; Dothideomycetes; Mycosphaerellales; Mycosphaerellaceae. The record is from RNAcentral.